GACGAACGCUGGCGGCGUGCUUAACACAUGCAAGUCGAACGGAAAGGCCCUGCUUUUGUGGGGUGCUCGAGUGGCGAACGGGUGAGUAACACGUGAGUAACCUGCCCUUGACUUUGGGAUAACUUCAGGAAACUGGGGCUAAUACCGGAUAGGAGCUCCUGCUGCAUGGUGGGGGUUGGAAAGUUUCGGCGGUUGGGGAUGGACUGGCGGCUUAUCAGCUGGUUGGUGGGGUAGUGGCUUACCAAGGCUUUGACGGGUAGCCGGCCUGAGAGGGUGACCGGCCACAUUGGGACUGAGAGACGGCCCAGACUGCUACGGGAGGCAGCAGUGGGGAAUAUUGCACAAUGGGCGGAAGCCUGAUGCAGCAACGCCGCGUGCGGGAUGACGGCCUUCGGGUUGUAAACCGCUUUCGCCUGUGACGAAGCGUGAGUGACGGUAAUGGGUAAAGAAGCACCGGCUAACUACGUG
Molecule: ribosomal RNA, 468 nt
Filed under: uncultured bacterium
Lineage: Bacteria
Description: partial 16S ribosomal RNA
Rfam family: Bacterial small subunit ribosomal RNA
Source: RNAcentral